AUGCUUUUGACGGGUAACGGGGAAUUAGGGUUCGACUCCGGAGAGGGAGCCUGAGAAACGGCUACCACAUCCAAGGAAGGCAGCAGGCGCGCAAAUUACCCAAUCCCAACAUGGGGAGGUAGUGACAAGAAAUACUGAUAUAGGGUCCUAUAGGAUCUUGUAAUUGGAAUGAGUACAAUUUAAACCCAUUAACGAGGAACAACUAGAGGGCAAGUCUGGUGCCAGCAGCCGCGGUAAUUCCAGCUCUAGUAGCAUACAUUAAAAUUGUUGCAGUUAAAACGCCCGUAGUUGAAGUUUGGCCCUGGUCAACUGGUCUGCCUCACCGCGAGUACUGGUAUGAUUGGGUCUUUUUUCUUGGUUUACUAUAUGCUCAGCAAUGGGUGUAUUUGUAUAACUAGGACUUUUACUUUGAAAAAAUUAGAGUGUUUAAAGCAGGCUUUUGCUCGAAUACCUUAGCAUGGAAUAAUGGAAUAUGACGAGUGGUUGUUUUUCAUUGGUUUUCACGACUACCGUAAUGAUUGAUAGGGAUGGUCGGGGGCAUCGGUAUUCGAUC
Molecule: ribosomal RNA, 553 nt
Filed under: Gloeandromyces dickii
Lineage: Eukaryota; Fungi; Ascomycota; Laboulbeniomycetes; Laboulbeniales; Laboulbeniaceae
Description: SSU rRNA
Rfam family: Eukaryotic small subunit ribosomal RNA
Source: RNAcentral